AUACUACAACUUACCACAACCCUUCACUCUUUACGUUAAGGAACUGUAUAAACAGGGUGGACAAGACUUCGAUCAGGGCGCUGGACCUCGGAUCCCAUUAGUCCGAGGUGCGGAGUCAAGCAAGGAGAUCCUUUGUCGCCCAUCUGUUUAAUCUAGUUAUUAAUAGAAUGAUUGAGACCACUCCAACCUGAGAUCGGGGUAAAGAUUGAAGGCAUGACUUAUAAUGUUCUGGCUUUUGCUGACGAUUUGGUUUUAGUGGCAGCGUCAGUAAAAGGAUUGCAGACAUUACUCAGUCAUGCUGAGAAUUUUCUCGCAAGUUGUGGCCUGAGGAUUAACACGAACAAGUCCUUCACGGUAGCGAUUAAGAACGUGCCGCAUGUGAAGAAGUCAUUUGUCGAUAAGGAUAUUAUCUUCAAAUGUGGGACGCAAACACUACCUGCAAAGUCAAGGGUCGACGGCUGGACUUACUUGGGGGUGGAAUUCACUCCCGAGGGUGCCAAUAUUGGUGAUCUUAAAGCGAAACUCCAGUCAACUAUUGAUAAAAUAACCAAAGCACCAUUGAAACCACAACAACGGUUAUUUGCGCUAAGAACCAUUGGCAUUCCUAAGUUAAUGCAUCAAUUAACAUUAGGUAAUGCCAAACUAGGAUUUCUGAAGUCGCUCGAUGGUGUAGUCAGAAAGGCAGUUCGUUCAUGGCUGCGACUACCUAAUGAUACUACUAAUGCAUAUUUUUAUGCAAAUAGUAAAGAUGGGGGCCUAUCUUUCCCAUCAUUAAGGUGGUUAGUUCCUCUUAGGAGGAAAAUUAGACUGGUUAAGUUGAACUGGGGUGAAUCCAGCUUCCACCAACUGGAGAUUGAAAAAUGUGACAAGAAACUAAUGGAGAAUAACAUCGUCCUUGCCUCUCAGGAGCAACUGGAUGAACGAUGGGCUCGGCUACUGCACAAGUCAGUGGACGGGUCCCCAUUGGUAAAAUCAUCCAAAGUACCAUCACAACAUCGGUGGGUGACUGAAGGCAACAAGUUCCUGACAGGGAAAGAUUACGUGAAUUGCAUUAAGUUCAGAAUCAAUGCAAUGCCUACGAGAUCCCGAACAACCAGAGGUAGAACAGAGGACAGGAACUGUAGGGCCGGUUGUAAUGCUCCAGAGACGUUAGACCACGUCCUACAAACUUGUCACCGUAGCCAUCGUCAACGAAUAGAACGACACAAUGCAGUCUGUAACUACGUCAAAAGAGCGUUGGAGAAAUCACACUCUCGUGUUGAUUGGGAGCCAACCUUCAAAACACCUGAAGGCACUCGGAAACCGGAUUUGAUCGCGUCACAGGGUCAGAAAGCAAUUGUACUGGACGCCCAAAUUGUAGGAAGCUCUACUAAUAUGGCCGGAGCCCACAGACGGAAGAUCGAGCAUUAUAAAAAUCUGGAGGACGUAGUGAAACUGAAAUACAAUGUGUCAACAGUGGUUUAUAACACAAUUACCCUCAACAUCAGGGGAGUCUGGCACGAAGAAUCGGCGAAUUUUCUAGUGUCGGAGAAGAUAUUAAACAAGAAUGAAUUGAAGGUAAUCUCUACCAGAGCGAUAAUCGGAGGACUAAACGGAUUUGCGAAAUGGUCAAAAACAACGACUACAAGACACGAGCCACAAGGAAUCGGAUGACCACCUGAAUUGCACGCGUGCUGCCUGCGCACAACAUCCCCCAGGCACAAUACUAGGAGUUAGGUUUAGUGGGUAUUGCCUUCGGGCCGAGUCCCACACUAUUGGUCAACCUGGCGACCAUUGUACAUAAAUGUAUUCCCCUCCUAGCCAAAAAAAAAAAAAAAAAAAAAAAAAAAAAAAAAAAAAAAAAAAAAUAGCCAAAUGCCUCGUCAUCUAAUUAGUGACGCGCAUGAAUGGAUUAACGAGAUUCCCACUGUCCCUAUCUACUUUCUAGCGAAACCACUGCCAAGGGAACGGGCUUGGAAAAAUUAGCGGGGAAAGAAGACCCUGUUGAGCUUGACUCUAGUCUGGCAUUGUAAGGAGACAUGAGAGGUGUAGCAUAAGUGGGAGAUAGCAAUAUCGUCGGUGAAAUACCACUACUUUCAUCGUUUCUUUACUUACUCGAUUGGGCGGAAAGCGUGCGUCGAGAACUUUCGUUCCGACUGUCACGGUUUUCUAGAGCCAAGCGUGUAAGAGUGGUGUGAGGCUUCGCGCCGAUCGCCAACUAUACUCUAGCGUGAUCCGAUUCGAGGAAAUUGCUAGGCCGGGAGUUUGACUGGGGCGGUACAUCUGUCAAAUAAUAACGCAGGUGUCCUAAGGCCAGCUCAGCGAGGACAGAAACCUCGCGUAGAGCAAAAGGGCAAAUGCUGGCUUGAUCCCGUUGUUCAGUGUGCACAGGGACUGCGAAAGCACGGCCUAUCGAUCCUUUUGGCUUGAAGAGUUUUCAGCAAGAGGUGUCAGAAAAGUUACCACAGGGAUAACUGGCUUGUGGCAGCCAAGCGUUCAUAGCGACGUUGCUUUUUGAUCCUUCGAUGUCGGCUCUUCCUAUCAUUGCGAAGCAGAAUUCGCCAAGCGUUGGAUUGUUCACCCACAAAUAGGGAACGUGAGCUGGGUUUAGACCGUCGUGAGACAGGUUAGUUUUACCCUACUGAUGAAUCGUCGUUGCGAUAGUAAUCCUGCUCAGUACGAGAGGAACCGCAGGUUCGGACAUUUGGUUCACGCACUCGGUCGAGCGGCCGGUGGUGCGAAGCUACCAUCCGUGGGAUUAUGCCUGAACGCCUCUAAGGCCGUAUCCUUUCUAGACAAAGUAAGCAACGAUAUCUCUAGGAGUCUCGUGAGUCGAAAGGCUCAAUACAAUGUGAUUUAUUAGGUAUUCGGCACACGCCGUUUAUCGCACGAGCCAUUUUUAGCCGAAUGAGGCGCUG
This 2897-nucleotide ribosomal RNA is filed under the name Ctenocephalides felis (cat flea). RNAcentral's name for it is "eukaryotic LSU rRNA". The stretch from base 1527 to 2897 matches the Rfam family "Eukaryotic large subunit ribosomal RNA". Lineage: Eukaryota; Metazoa; Arthropoda; Insecta; Siphonaptera; Pulicidae. The record is from RNAcentral.